UACGUAGGGUGCGAGCGUUAAUCGGAAUUACUGGGCGUAAAGCGUGCGCAGGCGGUUCGUUGUGUCGGCGGUGAAAGCCCCGGGCUUAACCUGGGAAUGGCCGUUGAAACUGGCGAACUGGAGUGUGGCAGAGGGGGGUAGAAUUCCACGUGUAGCAGUGAAAUGCGUAGAUAUGUGGAGGAAUACCGAUGGCGAAGGCAGCCCCCUGGGAUAACACUGACGCUCAUGCACGAAAGCGUGGGGAGCAAACAGG
Molecule: ribosomal RNA, 253 nt
Filed under: uncultured bacterium
Lineage: Bacteria
Description: partial 16S ribosomal RNA
Rfam family: Bacterial small subunit ribosomal RNA
Source: RNAcentral